This 468-nucleotide ribosomal RNA is filed under the name uncultured bacterium. Its description in RNAcentral is "partial 16S ribosomal RNA". It matches the Rfam family "Bacterial small subunit ribosomal RNA", at positions 28 to 507 of the family's 1533-position model. The record is from RNAcentral.
GACGAACGCUGGCGGCGUGCUUAACACAUGCAAGUCGAACGGAAAGGCCCUGCUUUUGUGGGGUGCUCGAGUGGCGAACGGGUGAGUAACACGUGAGUAACCUGCCCUUGACUUUGGGAUAACUUCAGGAAACUGGGGCUAAUACCGGAUAGGAGCUCCUGCUGCAUGGUGGGGGUUGGAAAGUUUCGGCGGUUGGGGAUGGACUCGCGGCUUAUCAGCUUGUUGGUGGGGUAGUGGCUUACCAAGGCUUUGACGGGUAGCCGGCCUGAGAGGGUGACCGGCGACAUUGGGACUGAGAUACGGCCCAGACUCGUACGGGAGGCAGCAGUGGGGAAUAUUGCACAAUCGGCGGAAGCCUGAUGCAGCAACGCCGCGUGCGGGAUGACGGCCUUCGGGUUGUAAACCGCUUUCGCCUGUGACGAAGCGUGAGUGACGGUAAUGGGUAAAGAAGCACCGGCUAACUACGUG